This 460-nucleotide ribosomal RNA is filed under the name uncultured bacterium. RNAcentral describes it as "partial 16S ribosomal RNA". It matches the Rfam family "Bacterial small subunit ribosomal RNA", at positions 28 to 507 of the family's 1533-position model. The record is from RNAcentral.
GACGAACGCUGGCGGCGUGCUUAACACAUGCAAGUCGAGCGGUAAGGCCUCUUCGGGGGUACACGAGCGGUGAACGGGUGCGUAACACGUGGGUGACCUUCACUCAGCUCUGGGAUAAGCCUGGGUAACUGGGUCCAAUACCGGUUAUGACCUUUACUCGCAUGGGGUUUGGUGGAAAGUUUUUUCGGCUGGGGCUGGCCCUGCAGCCUGUCAGCUUGGUGGUGGUGCGAUGGCCUACUAAGACGACGACCGGUAGCCGGCCUGAGAGGGCGACCGGCCACACUGGGACUGAGACACGGCUCGGGCUCCUACGGGAAGGAGCAGUGGGGUAUAGUGCGAAAUGGGCGGGAGCCUGACGCAGCGACGCCGCGUGGAGGUUGGCGACCUUCGGGUUAUAUACCUCUUUCGACCCCGACGAAUUUUGACGGUAGGGAAAGAAGAAGCACCGGCCAACUACGUG